GAAUGGUCCAAAGGUAGUGAGUUAUCCCAAUUGAUUGUUCACAGGCAGUUACAGAUCAAACUCCUUGUUCUACCCUUUCCCCACUUCUCACUACUGCACUUGACUAGACUUAA
This is an unclassified non-coding RNA of Nomascus leucogenys (northern white-cheeked gibbon), 113 nucleotides long. It matches the Rfam family "Y RNA". From Rfam's summary of the family: Y RNAs are components of the Ro ribonucleoprotein particle (Ro RNP), in association with Ro60 and La proteins. The Y RNAs and Ro60 and La proteins are well conserved, but the function of the Ro RNP is not known. Lineage: Eukaryota; Metazoa; Chordata; Mammalia; Primates; Hylobatidae. The record is from Ensembl.